UUAAGCGACUAAGCGUACACGGUGGAUGCCCUGGCAGUCAGAGGCGAUGAAGGACGUGCUAAUCUGCGAAAAGCGUCGGUAAGGUGAUAUGAACCGUUAUAACCGGCGAUGUCCGAAUGGGGAAACCCAGUGCAAUUCGUUGCACUAUCGUUAACUGAAUACAUAGGUUAACGAGGCGAACCGGGGGAACUGAAACAUCUAAGUACCCCGAGGAAAAGAAAUCAACCGAGAUUCCCCCAGUAGCGGCGAGCGAACGGGGAGCAGCCCAGAGUCUGAAUCAGCUUGUGUGUUAGUGGAACGGUCUGGAAAGUCCGACGGUACAGGGUGAUAGUCCCGUACACCAAAAUGCACAGGCUGUGAACUCGAAGAGUAGGGCGGGACACGUGGUAUCCUGUCUGAAUAUGGGGGGACCAUCCUCCAAGGCUAAAUACUCCUGACUGACCGAUAGUGAACCAGUACCGUGAGGGAAAGGCGAAAAGAACCCCGGCGAGGGGAGUGAAAAAGAACCUGAAACCGUGUACGUACAAGCAGUGGGAGCACCUUCGGGUGUGACUGCGUACCUUUUGUAUAAUGGGUCAGCGACUUAUAUUCUGUAGCAAGGUUAACCGUAUAGGGGAGCCGCAGGGAAACCGAGUCUUAACUGGGCGUUAAGUUGCAGGGUAUAGACCCGAAACCCGGUGAUCUAGCCAUGGGCAGGUUGAAGGUUGGGUAACACUAACUGGAGGACCGAACCGACUAAUGUUGAAAAAUUAGCGGAUGACUUGUGGCUGGGGGUGAAAGGCCAAUCAAACCGGGAGAUAGCUGGUUCUCCCCGAAAGCUAUUUAGGUAGCGCCUCGUGAACUCAUCUUCGGGGGUAGAGCACUGUUUCGGCUAGGGGGUCAUCCCGACUUACCAACCCGAUGCAAACUACGAAUACCGAAGAAUGUUAUCACGGGAGACACACGGCGGGUGCUAACGUCCGUCGUGAAGAGGGAAACAACCCAGACCGCCAGCUAAGGUCCCAAAGUCAUGGUUAAGUGGGAAACGAUGUGGGAAGGCACAGACAGCCAGGAUGUUGGCUUAGAAGCAGCCAUCAUUUAAAGAAAGCGUAAUAGCUCACUGGUCGAGUCGGCCUGCGCGGAAGAUGUAACGGGGCUAAACCAUGCACCGAAGCUGCGGCAGCGACACUAUGUGUUGUUGGGUAGGGGAGCGUUCUGUAAGCCUGCGAAGGUGACCUGUGAGGGUUGCUGGAGGUAUCAGAAGUGCGAAUGCUGACAUAAGUAACGAUAAAGCGGGUGAAAAGCCCGCUCGCCGGAAGACCAAGGGUUCCUGUCCAACGUUAAUCGGGGCAGGGUGAGUCGACCCCUAAGGCGAGGCCGAAAGGCGUAGUCGAUGGGAAACAGGUUAAUAUUCCUGUACUUGGUGUUACUGCGAAGGGGGGACGGAGAAGGCUAUGUUAGCCGGGCGACGGUUGUCCCGGUUUAAGCAUGUAGGCUGAUUGUCCAGGCAAAUCCGGAUAAUCAAGGCUGAGGUGUGAUGACGAGGCACUACGGUGCUGAAGUAACAAAUGCCCUGCUUCCAGGAAAAGCCUCUAAGCAUCAGGUAACAUUAAAUCGUACCCCAAACCGACACAGGUGGUCAGGUAGAGAAUACCAAGGCGCUUGAGAGAACUCGGGUGAAGGAACUAGGCAAAAUGGUGCCGUAACUUCGGGAGAAGGCACGCUGGUGUGUAGGUGAAGCCCCUGCGGGUGGAGCUGAGACCAGUCGAAGAUACCAGCUGGCUGCAACUGUUUAUUAAAAACACAGCACUGUGCAAACACGAAAGUGGACGUAUACGGUGUGACGCCUGCCCGGUGCCGGAAGGUUAAUUGAUGGGGUUAUCCGUAAGGAGAAGCUCUUGAUCGAAGCCCCGGUAAACGGCGGCCGUAACUAUAACGGUCCUAAGGUAGCGAAAUUCCUUGUCGGGUAAGUUCCGACCUGCACGAAUGGCGUAAUGAUGGCCAGGCUGUCUCCACCCGAGACUCAGUGAAAUUGAACUCGCUGUGAAGAUGCAGUGUACCCGCGGCAAGACGGAAAGACCCCGUGAACCUUUACUAUAGCUUGACACUGAACAUUGAGCCUUGAUGUGUAGGAUAGGUGGGAGGCUUUGAAGCGUGGACGCCAGUCUGCGUGGAGCCAACCUUGAAAUACCACCCUUUAAUGUUUGAUGUUCUAACGUUGGCCCCUGACCGGGGUUGCGGACAGUGUCUGGUGGGUAGUUUGACUGGGGCGGUCUCCUCCCAAAGCGUAACGGAGGAGCACGAAGGUUAGCUAAUCCUGGUCGGACAUCAGGAGGUUAGUGCAAUGGCAUAAGCUAGCUUGACUGCGAGCGUGACGGCGCGAGCAGGUGCGAAAGCAGGUCAUAGUGAUCCGGUGGUUCUGAAUGGAAGGGCCAUCGCUCAACGGAUAAAAGGUACUCCGGGGAUAACAGGCUGAUACCGCCCAAGAGUUCAUAUCGACGGCGGUGUUUGGCACCUCGAUGUCGGCUCAUCACAUCCUGGGGCUGAAGUAGGUCCCAAGGGUAUGGCUGUUCGCCAUUUAAAGUGGUACGCGAGCUGGGUUUAGAACGUCGUGAGACAGUUCGGUCCCUAUCUGCCGUGGGCGCUGGAGAAUUGAGGGGGGCUGCUCCUAGUACGAGAGGACCGGAGUGGACGCAUCACUGGUGUUCGGGUUGUCAUGCCAAUGGCACUGCCCGGUAGCUAAAUGCGGAAGAGAUAAGUGCUGAAAGCAUCUAAGCACGAAACUUGCCCCGAGAUGAGUUCUCCCUGAGACU
Molecule: ribosomal RNA, 2792 nt
Filed under: Klebsiella pneumoniae
Lineage: Bacteria; Pseudomonadati; Pseudomonadota; Gammaproteobacteria; Enterobacterales; Enterobacteriaceae
Description: bacterial LSU rRNA
Rfam family: Bacterial large subunit ribosomal RNA
Source: RNAcentral